This 467-nucleotide ribosomal RNA is filed under the name uncultured bacterium. RNAcentral's name for it is "partial 16S ribosomal RNA". It matches the Rfam family "Bacterial small subunit ribosomal RNA", at positions 28 to 506 of the family's 1533-position model. The record is from RNAcentral.
GACGAACGCUGGCGGUGUGCUUAACACAUGCAAGUCGAACGGUAAGGCCCUUUCGGGGGUACACGAGUGGCGAACGGGUGAGUAACACGUGAGUAACCUGCCCUCAUCUCUGGGAUAACAGUCGGAAACGGUUGCUAAUACUGGAUAUGAGCUUGCAAGGCAUCUUGUGGGUUGGAAAGAUUUUUUUUGGUUGGGGAUGGACUCGCGGCCUAUCAGCUUGUUGGUGAGGUAGUGGCUCACCAAGGCUUCGACGGGUAGCCGGCCUGAGAGGGCGACCGGCCACAUUGGGACUGAGAUACGGCCCAAACUCCUACGGGAGGCAGCAGUGGGGAAUAUUGCACAAUGGACGGAAGUCUGAUGCAGCAACGCCGCGUGCGGGAUGACGGCCUUCGGGUUGUAAACCGCUUUCAAUUGUGACGAAGCUUUUUUGCGACGGUAGCAGUAGAAGAAGCACCGGCUAACUACGU